AAGAGGAGGAGGAGGAAAUGGAGGAGGAGGAAGAGGAGGAGGAGGAAGAAGAGGAAGAGGAGGAGGAGGAGAAAAGGAGAAGAGAAAGAAGAACAGAAAGAAAAGGAGAGGAUUAGGAGGAGGAGGAGGAGAAGGAAAGGAAGAAGAAGAAAAGAAGAAGAAGGAGAAGGAGGAGGAGGACGACGAGAAGGAGUAGAAGGAGGAGGAGAGAAAGACAAGAAGGAGGAAGAGGGGAGAAGAAGGAGGAGGAGGAGAGAAGGAGAAGGAGGAGGAGGAGAGAAGGAGAAGAAGGAGGAGGAGAGAAAGAGAAGAGAAAGAAGAAGAGAAAGAAAAAGAGAGGAUUAGGAGGAGGAGAAGAAGAAGAAGGAAGAGGAGGAGGAGGAGGAAAGAGAAGAAAAAGAAAGAAAAACAAAGAAGAAGAAGAAAGUAGAAGAAAUUCCAGCACUCAAGUCACAGGCAUGGGAAGAAAUCAGCCUGUGUACAUGUGAGAUCAAAAUAUCUGGAUGAAGAGGAAAAAUGAAAAAAUCCAGCCACCCAAUCAACAAGCAUUUGUUAAGCUCCCACAGCAAGCCAGUGUUCUAUGCUAAUAGCUAGGGUCAUAAAUAUAGAUAAGAUGCAGACCCUACCCUCCAAGGGGCCACAGUCUAGGGGGAGACAGAUGUGUGAGCAGAAGUUCUCAGUGUAGGCUGGGCAUGGUGGCUCAUGCCUGUAAUCCCAGCAGUUUGGGAGGCCAAAGUGGGUGAAUCACUCAAGGUCAGCAGUUCGAGACCAGCCUGGCCAACAUGGCAAACCCCUGACUCUACUAAAAAUACAAAAUUAGCCAAGUGUAGUGGUGCAUAUCUGUAGUCCCAGCUACUCGGGAGGCUGAGGCAGGAGAAUCACUUGAACCUGGAAGGCAGAGUUUGCAGUGAGCCGAGAUCCUGCCA
This 926-nucleotide long non-coding RNA is filed under the name Homo sapiens (human). RNAcentral's name for it is "HSALNT0291419". Lineage: Eukaryota; Metazoa; Chordata; Mammalia; Primates; Hominidae. The record is from RNAcentral.